RNAcentral lists this ribosomal RNA (1719 nucleotides) under Triticum aestivum (bread wheat). RNAcentral's name for it is "partial small subunit ribosomal RNA". The record is from RNAcentral. Lineage: Eukaryota; Viridiplantae; Streptophyta; Magnoliopsida; Poales; Poaceae.
GAACCGAAUUAGCGGGAGCUGUUAAUAAAAUAGGCGCCAAAAUCACGUCCGCCGUCUGGCCUUCUCGCGCCAAAAAUUGCUGCGCCGCGUAUCAAGGUGAGGACUGAGGUGCUCGUCGCACGAAUCGGCACAACCAAGAUGCGUUCUCCUUGAGUUGCCACCGCCGCGAUCGUGCCAAGCUGCUGCCACCACCGCCGCCGCAUCGAAUCCAACGGAGCUGCCGCCGUGGCUUUGCUUGUCGAGCAGCCGCCACCGCGUCGCCCGUCGAGCAGCCGCCGCCGCCGCCGAAUCCAACAAAGUUGCAAUCGCAGCGUCGCCGUCAGCUUCCGCCGCUGUGUCACAUCCAACAAAGCUGGCUCCAAACUGCGCGUACACGUUGCGAUCUAAGGCGAGGAGUCACGUUCGAUCGCCAUAGAACUUUGGUUUUUAUUGCCACUUAGUCAAUUGGUGGAGCCAUCCCACAUCUGUUUUCCAAUGGAAAGCACAAACGAGGGAGAUCACCAGGAUAAUGGCAGUCUGAAUACAUCGAGUGCCAUACCAAGUUGGGUACCACAGAUGGGCAUGAAAUUCGGCACUGUCGAUGAAGCAUGGACAUUCUGGGUUACUUAUGGGGGCAAAGUUGGAUUUGGUACUAGAAAGCGAUACCUCAACCCAAGUAAGUUUGAUCGGACAAUCACGUCGUGCAGAUUUGUUUGUCGCAAGGAAGGCCAUCGAGGAAAAGACAAAAGAGAUAAGCAUAUUAAGGAACCUCGAGCUGAGAUUCGAACCGGUUGUCUAGCUCGCAUGGGUCUCACAAUAAACAGAGAAGCGGGAAAUUAUGAAGUAACCGAUCUUGUUCUAGAGCACAACCACAUUAUGCAGUUGCAAGAAACAUGCCACUUUCUGCCAUCACAGCGAAAGAUAUCUGAAAUUCAAGCUUUUGAGAUUGAAAUUGCAGAUGAUUCAGGUAUUGGGCCAAAAGCUGCGUAUGAGUGUGCUAGUCGUCGAGUUGGUGGACCAUCUGUUCUUGGCUAUAUACGUAGGGAUCACAAAAAUCACCUACGUACUAAGCGCCAAAGGGAACUAAUGUAUGGUGAAGCUGGGAGUAUGUUAAAAUACUUUCAGGAUAAAGUCGCCCAAAACCCAUCGUUCCAAUAUGCCAUACAGCUGGACAAUGAAGAACAGAUCACAAAUAUAUUUUGGGCUGAUGCAAAAAUGUUAAUUGAUUAUGCUCAUUUUGGUGAUGUGGUUACUUUUGACACAACAUUUGGAACCAACAAGGAACUUAGGCCAUUUGGUGUAUUCGUUGGGUUCAAUCAAUUCAGACAAACUGUUAUAUUUGGUGCUUGCCUUUUAUAUAGUGAAACAUAUGAGGCUUUCAAAUGGCUAUUUGAAACUUUUCUCUUUGCACAUAAUCAGAAGCAUCCAAGAACUAUAUAUACAGAUCAAGAUGUUGCAAUGGGAAAUGCGGUUGAGGAUGUAUUUUUAAUGGCACGGCAUGGUUUAUGCACGUUUCACAUAAUGCAGAAUGCCAUCAAACAUUUAUCUUGUCAUAAGAAGGAGGAGGAGGAGGCGGAGGAGGAGGUUGAAGGGGAGGGGGAGGAGGAGGAGGAGGAGGAUGAACCACAUAUUCUUGCAGACUUCAGUGCUUGCAUGUAUGAGUACCGAGACAAGGAAACAUUUGAGGAAGCUUUUGACACCAUGCGAGGUAAAAUAGAAAAACAAACUUGGCUUGAUAGC